CAAGCCUUUUUUUUAGGGGUUCCCCUUUGAGAAAAUAGAAAAGGCUCUUAAUUGCUACCAUUGCAUUAUAUUUUAUUAUCAUACCAUAUAAGCAUCCAUGGCUGAGUUUCUAAACUACAACAAGUGCAAGCAAGGAACUAAGGUUCCUGCAAAGAGAAAGGGAUAUGGGAUUAGCAGCAAGUGUGCUUCUUUGGUGAAGGAGCAACGUGCUCGUCUCUAUAUCCUACGUCGAUGUGCCACCAUGCUACUUUGUUGGUAUAUUCAAGGAGAUGAUUGAGUUCACAAAAACCACUCUUGUUUUCACUCUCUUUUUGGUCUUCUUUAGCUAUAUGUGUAAUAUAUGUCAUAAAGUUUACCAUCUUCUAAAGUGGUGACAUCUUUGUUUGAAGGAAGCUCCUUGCCAUGCAUGGUCUGCCAGCACAGUUGGGUUGGGCUUCACUGUGGGUUUGUCAUUUUAGUCUCCUUUUUUCCUUCUUUUUUUUUACCCAUUUGGAAAAGCCCAAUGGGUUUUUAUGGGGAAAGGAGAGUUUUAUGGACACCCUCAGUGCUGCUUUUUCCUCAAUAUGAAUCUGGCAAGGAGUUGAUGAUUAACUAAACGUCCUUUAGCUGAUGCUAGAAUAAUUGGAAUGUAGUCCUAGUACUUCAGCGUUUUUCACUUAUACCAAGCCCCUUUUUCUUGUAUUACAUAUAUUUCUCUUUGACUAAUGACAUUAUGACUUAAUAACUAGCAUUUGGUACCUCUGCUAGCUUGAAAAAUACAUAAGGGAAACUCAAAUGUUGUAUGUUACAUGGAAGACAAGUUGUAAAAUCCUAAACCG
Molecule: long non-coding RNA, 818 nt
Filed under: Glycine max (soybean)
Lineage: Eukaryota; Viridiplantae; Streptophyta; Magnoliopsida; Fabales; Fabaceae
Description: uncharacterized LOC100500339 (LOC100500339)
Source: RNAcentral